This 468-nucleotide ribosomal RNA is filed under the name uncultured bacterium. RNAcentral's name for it is "partial 16S ribosomal RNA". It matches the Rfam family "Bacterial small subunit ribosomal RNA", at positions 28 to 507 of the family's 1533-position model. The record is from RNAcentral.
GACGAACGCUGGCGGCGUGCUUAACACAUGCAAGUCGAACGGAAAGGCGCUGCUUUUGUUGGGUGCUCGAGUGGCGAACGGGUGAGUAACACGUGAGUAUCCUGCCCUUGACUGUGGGAUAACUCCAGGAAACUGGGGCUAAUACCGGGGAGGAGCUCCUGCUGCACGGUGGGGGUUGGAGAGUGUCGGCGGUGGGGGAUGGACUAGCGGCUUAUGAGCUUGUUGGGGGGGUAGUGGCUUACCAAGGGUUUGACGGGUAGCCGGCCUGAGAGGGUGAACGGCGACAAUGGGACUGAGAUACGGCCCAGUCGCGUAUGGGAGGCAGCAGUCGGGAAUAUUGCACAAUGGCCGGACGCCUGAUACAGCAACGCUGCGUGCGGGAUGCCGGCCUUCUGGGGGUAAACCGAUUUCGCCUGUGACGAAGCGUGAGUGACGGUAACGGGUAAAGAAGCACCGGCUAACUACGUG